ACGGUNGCACAGAGAGCUUGCUCUCGGGUGACGAGUGGCGGACGGGUGAGUAAUGUCUGGGAAACUGCCUGAUGGAGGGGGAUAACUACUGGAAACGGUAGCUAAUACCGCAUAACGUCGCAAGACCAAAGAGGGGGACCUUCGGGCCUCUUGCCAUCAGAUGUGCCCAGAUGGGAUUAGCUAGUAGGUGGGGUAACGGCUCACCUAGGCGACGAUCCCUAGCUGGUCUGAGAGGAUGACCAGCCACACUGGAACUGAGACACGGUCCAGACUCCUACGGGAGGCAGCAGUGGGGAAUAUUGCACAAUGGGCGCAAGCCUGAUGCAGCCAUGCCGCGUGUAUGAAGAAGGCCUUCGGGUUGUAAAGUACUUUCAGCGGGGAGGAAGGUGUUGUGGUUAAUAACCGCAGCAAUUGACGUUACCCGCAGAAGAAGCACCGGCUAACUCCGUGCCAGCAGCCGCGGUAAUACGGAGGGUGCAAGCGUUAAUCGGAAUUACUGGGCGUAAAGCGCACGCAGGCGGUCUGUCAAGUCGGAUGUGAAAUCCCCGGGCUCAACCUGGGAACUGCAUUCGAAACUGGCAGGCUAGAGUCUUGUANAGGGGGUAGANUUCCAGGUGUAGCGGUGAAUGCGUAANAUCUGGAGAAAUACGGUGGCGAAGCGNCCCCUGGACAAGACUGACCCUCAGGUNCAAAGCGUGGGAGCAACAGAUAAUACCUGUNUCNCGCGUAACAUGCACUGAGUGGCCUGAGCGGCUCGACUACCNUAUCACGCUGGAUCGCCAGUANCCAUAUNCGGCCCCACGUGACUGGUUAUNUCACCAACUCUNUGNCAAANUCAAUGUGNCUGACUANGNUNGUCCCNGUNAUUGUANCANNNCUCUUCGCCGAANNCGAUGAGGNCANUCUAGCNAGNAAACNNCAGNCUNNCNAUUAANANNUCCNGANNGCUUGA
This 952-nucleotide ribosomal RNA is filed under the name Pantoea agglomerans. Its description in RNAcentral is "partial 16S ribosomal RNA". The stretch from base 1 to 826 matches the Rfam family "Bacterial small subunit ribosomal RNA". Lineage: Bacteria; Pseudomonadati; Pseudomonadota; Gammaproteobacteria; Enterobacterales; Erwiniaceae. The record is from RNAcentral.